GGACGAGCCCCCAAGACCUCUGCUGGCUCACCAGUGAAAUGGGUGGUGCUGCGCCCUUAGGAGGUGUAUGGUAGAGGAGCAGGACCUACAGCACAUGCGCGGAGUCCAGCCCCGGGCUGGCGGGCAACUGUCUCACCUGCUCACCUCGUGGCUUCGGCGGGCAGCUCCGGGACAUCGGGUCUUGGCGUCUUCACUCCCAGGAGAGCAGAUCCACCGCAUCAAGGGGAGCUGUGAAAACGGAAGGCAGAGCUGAGGAUGCCUGUGCCUGGGCCCUCCUACCGGGUGUCCGUCUCUGCGAGGGGGGAAGACGGGGGAGAGCGGCGCUGCCCCCACCACCUCCCGCGGGAAGGGGACGCUGCAGGUGCCCAUCACCCAGUGAGGGUGGCAUUAGCCUGGUGGCACCACCGAGCCGCCCCGCGACCCGCUGCUCCUGCCCCUGGCGAUCUGACGUUUCAGUUUCUUUCACUUAAAUUUCAAGGGCAGCAGUCACGUGUGGUUACCAGAGCGGACAGCCCAGAAGUAGAGCAUGUCAACCUCACAGACAGUUCCACGGGGCUGUUCUAGAGGGAGCAGGUCCGGGUCUGGGGACCAGGGAGACCCCGUGGAGAGGGGGGGACUCAGGAGCCUGCUCUGUCCAGCUCAGGCCUCUGACCCAUGUCCUCCUGAUGCCUCAUUCCUAGGAGACACAUGGACGCAUUCACAGGAUGGAAACAAUCCCGGCCCGUGGACAGAGCAUGUUUACAUUCUCAUCGGGGUCUCUGCAGCCUUUCUCCUUUGUCUCCUCCUCUUGGUCCUCCUCCUCCUCCAGCGCUGGCAUCAGAGGAAACGGGGGCCCCCCAGAAACAAAGGCAAGGAGCCAGAGCCCCAGGAGAGGCUCAGCCCAGCUGUUGACGUCCUAGAUGGGACACCAGGUACAGACAAGGGUGGGACAGGUCUGGGAGGGGAAGGGGGCAUUCACUGCCAUCCAGGAAGCCAUGUGCAGGGAGCAAGUUUGGGGGCAUUCUGUUCUAGAUGGGGGUGGGGGGGCAAGACUAAAUAGGAAGCUGUGAGGUUUCAGGUGAGUUUGCCCCAGAGAACAGCUCCCUUGUCCUCUCCUCUCUAGACCCGGCCA
Molecule: long non-coding RNA, 1111 nt
Filed under: Sus scrofa (pig)
Lineage: Eukaryota; Metazoa; Chordata; Mammalia; Artiodactyla; Suidae
Description: lncRNA (ENSSSCG00055019249.1)
Source: RNAcentral